AGUGGCGGACGGGUGAGUAACGCGUGGAAAACCUGCCGUAUACCGGGGGGAUAACACUUAGAAAUAGGUGCUAAUACCGCAUAAGCGCACAGCUUCGCAUGAAGCAGUGUGAAAAACUCCGGUGGUAUACGAUGGUUCCGCGUCUGAUUAGCUAGUUGGCGGGGUAACGGCCCACCAAGGCAGCGAUCAGUAGCCGGCCUGAGAGGGUGAACGGCCACAUUGGGACUGAGACACGGCCCAAACUCCUACGGGAGGCAGCAGUGGGGAAUAUUGCACAAUGGGGGAAACCCUGAUGCAGCGACGCCGCGUGAGUGAAGAAGUAUUUCGGUACGUAAAGCUCUAUCAGCAGGGAAGAAAAUGACGGUACCUGACUAAGAAGCCCCGGCUAGCUACGUGCCAGCAGCCGCGGUAAUACGUAGGGGGCAAGCGUUAUCCGGAUUUACUGGGUGUAAAGGGAGCGUAGACGGCAGCGCAAGUCUGGAGUGAAAUGCCGGGGCCCAACCCCGGAACUGCUUUGGAAACUGUGCAGCUUGAGUGCGGGAGAGGUAAGUGGAAUUCCUAGUGUAGCGGUGAAAUGCGUAGAUAUUAGGAGGAACACCAGUGGCGAAGGCGGCUUACUGGACCGUAACUGACGUUGAGGCUCGAAAGC
RNAcentral lists this ribosomal RNA (649 nucleotides) under uncultured bacterium. RNAcentral describes it as "bacterial SSU rRNA". It matches the Rfam family "Bacterial small subunit ribosomal RNA", at positions 94 to 760 of the family's 1533-position model. The record is from RNAcentral.